Molecule: small RNA, 104 nt
Filed under: Salmonella enterica subsp. enterica serovar Muenchen
Lineage: Bacteria; Pseudomonadati; Pseudomonadota; Gammaproteobacteria; Enterobacterales; Enterobacteriaceae
Also listed under: 3 other names
Description: partial RtT sRNA
Rfam family: RtT RNA
About the family: This family represents a bacterial cis-regulatory element known as RtT RNA. The exact function of RtT is unknown although it is thought that it may be involved in changing the cellular response in relation to amino acid starvation.
Source: RNAcentral
AUAUCUCUCUGUACGGGAAGGAUGAGAAGCUUCGACUAAGGUUCGAUUCGAGCGCAGCGAGAAAGCGUUGCCGCAGGCAACGACCCGAAGGGCGAAGCGCGCAG